AAAAAAAUUGAGCUAAAUUUUUUUGUUUUCGGUAUUAUUCCAGGCAUCCUAAAUCUGAGACGGCAGAACUUCCAGCACCAUUGCAUUUCCAUAAGUUCACUUGCGCUUUGAAAGCUCUCUUCAUCAGCUAUGCGUUCUUACUUCAAUCAAUGUUACACCUGUAAAUGAAUGCUGUGCAAAGGGCUCGCAUACACACACUCAUACAUUCCUAAGUACAUGACUAAGCUGUGUGCUCCGGAGGGAUAUUAGCUGCAUGCGCAUCAUUGAGAAAUGGAAAUGAGUGACGCUUUGAUUGUGUGCAUUGUUGUUGCGAAUUUUUAAUGUUCGAACAUCGAAGCUGACCUUGAAAUAUUAUGCAUAUAAUAAUAGUUAAUCAAUAGUUGUGACAGAUCUAAGAAGAGUUUCGAAUUUUCGAAUUUUCGAGAAUACUGGAAUGCGAAAUUAAGGGAAAUCAACUGAAUAAUUCCAAUUGAGGAAUGCAAUAUUAGUUACAAGUGGUAGUGAGUGAGAGCACACGGGAUGCUGGACUGAAGUCGCGAAUAUUUGUUAAAAUUAGUAAAAAGUAUUUCUUAAAUUGUGUUUUUAUUUAAAAUAAAGUUAGAAUCGUUAAUAAAUGCAAAAAAUAGUGUCGUGAAAGUCGUAGUGCGUUAUAUUCCUCGAAAUUAUGAAUAUAUAGUAUGGUGCAAAUACCUUAAGUGAGUAUUCGGGUUAGUUCGUGAGUGUGUGUAGAAUGUGCGUCGGUAUUUUGUGCGGUUCUCGGUUCGCUUGCGUCGCGUGUGUCGGGUAUUAAGUGCGAUAGUUUUAUAAAAAAAAGCGCGUCGUGUAAUACAUAUGUAUACGUAGCCAAGGCAUGUUUAGAAAGGUUAACUUCGCGCGCUCGAAUGCUGCCGUUGAUCGCCUUGCCGCCGCCCGUCAUUGAGCGCGCGCCUUUUGACG
Long non-coding RNA from Bactrocera neohumeralis, 936 nucleotides. RefSeq lists it as uncharacterized. The record is from RefSeq and is a predicted model, not a curated record. Lineage: Eukaryota; Metazoa; Arthropoda; Insecta; Diptera; Tephritidae. The transcript has 3 exons.